GAUUGAACGCUGGCGGCAUGCCUUACACAUGCAAGUCGAACGGUAACAGGUCUUCGGAUGCUGACGAGUGGCGAACGGGUGAGUAAUACAUCGGAACGUGCCCGAUCGUGGGGGAUAACGAAGCGAAAGCUUUGCUAAUACCGCAUAAGAUCUACGGAUGAAAGCAGGGGACCGCAAGGCCUUGCGCGAACGGAGCGGCCGAUGGCAGAUUAGGUAGUUGGUGGGAUAAAAGCUUACCAAGCCGACGAUCUGUAGCUGGUCUGAGAGGACGACCAGCCACACUGGGACUGAGACACGGCCCAGACUCCUACGGGAGGCAGCAGUGGGGAAUUUUGGACAAUGGGCGAAAGCCUGAUCCAGCCAUGCCGCGUGCAGGAUGAAGGCCUUCGGGUUGUAAACUGCUUUUGUACGGAACGAAAAGACUCUGGUUAAUACCUGGGGUCCAUGACGGUACCGUAAGAAUAAGCACCGGCUAACUACGUG
This 483-nucleotide ribosomal RNA is filed under the name uncultured bacterium. RNAcentral describes it as "partial 16S ribosomal RNA". It matches the Rfam family "Bacterial small subunit ribosomal RNA", at positions 27 to 507 of the family's 1533-position model. The record is from RNAcentral.